This 2489-nucleotide long non-coding RNA is filed under the name Cinara cedri. The record is from RNAcentral. Lineage: Eukaryota; Metazoa; Arthropoda; Insecta; Hemiptera; Aphididae.
GAGCAACAAUCACGAGUCUUUAUUUCGACCUAUAAAAGAGGGUUAACUGGUUUACAUUUGUUCAGUGCUCCCAUCAAGUACGGUACAACUUCAUGCGUUCGGUGGCGAAAAAAUAAUUUUAAAAAUAAACCAAUAAUAUUUCUAGUCGCCCACGGUGCGUUCGACAUGUACAAAAUCGUAUUCAUCUUGGCGGUGUUCACCUAUGCGGCUCAAGUAGCAUUCGGCGUCCCCACGACCGACAACAAAAUGGUAAAUAUUAUUCACAAUUAUCACAACGAUUAUGUUUAAUCUCUGACACUCUCGAUUUGAGUAGCGAUAUUAUUUCAUGUUAAUGUUUACUGGGUGGUGUUUACAAUAAAAGGCCUUUCCUUUUUUUGUAGUUUUGUAUUUAUAUAAAUAUAUGAAUGGGAAAAAUCGGAAGAUUUAUUCUUGAAAUAUAUUCACGCUAUUAAUGUUCAAAAUAUUUUUUAAAUUUUCUCGGUUUAAUAUAAUAAAUGCAUAGCAAAUUGCCGAAAACGAAAACUUGUAAAUAAAAAGAAAAUUUGUAUUUCUUUUGCAUUGGCUAUACAAAAUAUAUUUUGUACUUUCCUUUUAACGUAAUUAUCUAGUCAUAUAAUUAAUAAUUCUCGAAUUUUAAAAAUUUAUCAUUAGGCUUUUUUAGUUUUUAAAUAACCAAAAGUUUAAAAUAAUGAUGAGCUUGUUUUCUGCUAAUAGGUGGCAAUUUGUCGAAGGCGAAAACUUAUGUGCCAAGACUUACCGGGCGCAAUAGCUUUAGGAAAUACACCAGUCACCAAUUUUGAACAAACGGCGGCACACGCGAUCCAGCUGCUAUUAGAUGGGGCACAGGCCUCAAAGAGUGAAAUAAGUGAAGCAAAUACGAUUCAAGGUGUCCCCAUCACCUACAGCCAAUAUGUAACUAUUGCAAUUUUUUCACGUAUUUAACCAAAAAUUUGUUUUUCUUUUGCAUUGAUUAUACAUAAUAUGUUUUUACUUUUCUUUUAACGCACUUAUCUAGUCAUAUAAUAAAUAAUUAUCGAAUUAUAUACAUUUAUCUUUAAGAUAUUUGAAGUUUUAAAAAAUCAAUAAUUUUGAAAAUAAUGAAGAGCUUGUAAUUGUUAUCUGCUUAUAGGUUGCAAAUUGUCGAAAACGAAAACUUAUGUGCGACUUACCGGCCGCAAUAGCUUUAGGAUUUAAACCUGACACGAAUGUUGAACAAACUGCAUCACAAAUGAUCCAGAUGCCAUUAGAAAAAGAACAAGCCGCCAAUGUUGAAUUAAAUGAAGCACAAGCAUUUCAAGGUGUCCCCAUGACCUACAGUGAAUAUGUAACUAUUGCAACAUUUUCACGUAUUUAACCAAAAAUUUGUUUUUCUUUUGCAUUGAUUAUACAUAAUAUGUUUUUAAUUUUCUUUUAACGCACUUAUCUAGUCAUAUAAUAAAUAAUUAUCGAAUUAUAUACAUUUAUCUUUAAGAUAUUUGAAGUUUUAAAAAAUCAAUAAUUUUGAAAAUAAUGAAGAGCUUGUAAUUGUUAUCUGCUUAUAGGUGGCUAAUUGUCGAAAACGAAAACUUAUGUGCGACUUACCGGCCGCAAUAGCUUUAGGAUUUAAACCUGACACGAAUGUUGAACAAACUGCAUCACAAAUGAUCCAGAUGCCAUUAGAAAAAGAACAAGCCGCCAAUGUUGAAUUAACUGAAGCACAAGCAUUUCAAGGUGUCCCCAUGACCUACAGUGAAUAUGUAACUAUUGCAACAGUUUCACGUAUUUAACCAUAAAUGUGUUUUUAUUUUGCAUUGGCUUUACGUAAUAUAUUUUGUACCUUACUUUUAACUUACUUAUCUAUUCAUAUAAUAAAUAAUUCUCGAAUUUUAAAAAUUUAUCGUUAGGCUUUUUUAGUUUUUAAAUAACCAAAAGUUUAAAAUAUUGAAGAGCUUGUUUUCUUCUUAUAGGUGGCAGUUUGUCGAAAGCGAAAACUUAUGUGCCAAGACUUACCGGGCGCAAUAGCUUUAGGAAAUAUACCCGUCACCGAUUUUGAAAAAACGGCGNUAUACCCGCCACCAAUUUUGAACAAACUGCGGCACACGCGAUCCAGCUGCUAUUAGAAGGGGCACAGGCCUCAAACAGUGAAAUAACCGGAGCACAAGCAAUGCAAGGUGUUCCCGCGACCGAAGCCAAAAUGGUAAAAAUUAGGUUUACAAUUGGAAGAAUUUUCAUACUAUAUAAAUUAAUAUUAUAUUGAAAAUAUCUUUUAAUUUUUCUCGGUUUAAAAAUUGAAAUGCAUAGCAUGCUUAAAACAAAAACUCGUACAAGAACACUCUCCAAUAGCAGCAGCUUUAAAAGAUAAACUGGCCGUUAACGAUGAACUAGCAACAAAAACCAGCGACGCCUAGACUUCGACAAUUUUAGUCGAACUUCUAAAAAUUUACCGGAUGGAUAUACAUGAUUUAAUUAUUUUAUAGCUUUAGUUUAACUAUAUAUUUGUCAAAAAUAAA